ACCACAGUGUGCGCUUUCAUCACGGGGGGAUGUCGACCCUAAACCAUUCCGCACCGCCUUCUGACGGCAGUCUCUAGCGACAAGAUGAUUUGGAUCAUAUUUCCUCCACACGCCAAAAAAAAAGAACUGUUAGCUGGUCGAACAUAUCUCUAUAGCACUGUGUUACUGUGUAUUUAAUAGACACGCGCUAUUCAGAUGACACAACAUAGGUCUAGGGAACAUAAUCUCCUCACUGAGUGCUCUGUGCUAGGUCGACUUUGAAUGUUUAGCAUGCAGGGCUUCAAGCUAGUCAGAUCCUCGUGACGUCAACCAGUGGCCGACUUUACCUUCAAGGAUCAUUUAGGAGUGUCCGAGAUGAGGAUUAGUGUACAGUCAGUGUUGAAGCUCGCUUCAAACUAUCCCUAUACAUUGAGGAGAGAGAGAGAGUAGACAGAGGGGGCAGACAGAGAGGGCAGACCAUCUCGUGCUACCGUCACGCUUCGAUGAGUGGCAGACGAGGCCAAGCCCACUGCAUUGUCCUCGCGAGUCUCGUCACCUGGAAGCCAUGGCAACACGCACACGUCACUACCGGAAGUAAGGAGGGCGGGAGGAGGAUUCUAUAUUUAAAAAAAAAAAAAAACUACGGAUGCGAUCGACUGAUGCCUUGUCGGGAAGCAGACGUUUCAAGAGCCUGGAACUAGAAGGCUGGUGCAGUCAUGACCACCAGAGCAGCCCUGGACUGACAAGUGGAGUAACAUUGAAGAGAUGGGGAGUGGGUGGUGGACAUCACCAAUCUGGUCAACUCCCUUUGCAGACUUCUAACUGAAAAUAGUACUCACCAAAUUUAUUCAUAACAUUAUUUAUAAAAUUAUUUAAUUAUUAGUAGUUUGCAUAGUUUCACAUUGGUAACUUCAAGAGAUCAGAUAACGUAAUCAAGGGGGAAAAGGUAGAGCUCUAGAAAGUUUUAGGACACAUUUUUAGGGACCAAAUUAGAAAGUGUCUUCAAUUCAACGAGUUUUAAGAAGAUUUUUGAAAAAAAAAGGGGGGGGGGGACAGAAAGAAAAAAAAAGUGUGGGGGGGGAUAGUUGAUAAAAAAAAUAUAAAAAUGAAAAACAAAAAGCACCUCCCCAUGCAUCCAGUCAGAAGCGCCACCUAGGUCUCUAAGUAGCUAUAAGUUAGGUUACAUGCACAAUUUUAGCACUUGAAAAGUUUAUAUUAUUUACUGAUUAGCAUUAGCAUUAGCAUGAAUAGUUAUAAUUGUGUUAUGAAUGAUAUUAUGUACAUAACAUUUCUAAUGAUAAUGACACCUGCAGACGACACACAUUUUGUUGACAUUGACUGUUGUUGUUGUCCACUGGUGUCCAUUCUAUUUCUGUUCCACCUACUAACAAACUUCAUCUGUUCAGUGUCCAUCUGUUUGUAGUUCGAUGUUGUUUCUGUGUCCCUGUAAUGACGUCAUGCUUUGAGUCGUGCUCCCUGGGGGGUCCGGCGCGUGGGUUGGGGUGGAUGCUGGGAGGGCGCCGUUCUUGUCUUUGGUUAUCUAGCUGUAUGAUUGUAGAACAAAUUCAUAAAGCUAGGUUACCAAAGGCAAGACUGGAAGCCGUAAACAUCGCCGGAUGUCGCAGUCUGUUCCAGGACGAUGGCGCCAUCACUCUCUGUGUCCUUUGCUCGUGAGCAUUAUGACAUCACAGCAGGAAAUGACGUAAGUAGUGCACUUUUAUUUCUUGUUACCAUGACUACAAUGUUAAUUCUAUUCUAAACAUGUUAAAAAGAAACUAUUUAAAAUCUUAAAUAAAUAAACUCUAUUGACUGUAGUGUACAGGUUAAAUAAAUGAUACUAUAAAAAAAAACUUUUGUGUUUGUUACCGAUUUUUGACUAUGUGUUAGUGUAAAAGUCUUGGGUUCUAAUCCUUUAAGAAUAAUUCCAAACAGUUGAUGUAUAUAGAAAGAUAUCACUAGAAAGAAAAAUGGCAAACAUUGGCAACACUAUUUAUAAAAAUAUAUUUAAAAAAAAACAACACAGAAACAUUGCCUUCCUAUAAUAGCUUGGUCAACGUGUGAAAUACAAGUGUGUGCAUCUCUUCAGGUGAAAUACAAGUGUGUGCAUCUCUUCAGGUGAAAUACAAGUGUGUGCAUCUCUUCAGGUGAAAUACAAGUGUGUGCAUCUCUUCUGAGAAAUAAACAAAAUAUUUCAAAGUGAAAAUGUUUUUAUAGUCAGUGUAAUACGUGUUGCCUACCUUCAACGUCGUCUACUCCAGUCACAAGUAGAUCUACACUAUCUAUCAGCUGUCAAACGUCUGUGUUCGAUGGCACUUUAGAAUCAAUGAGCUGUUUUCGCAGCUUCACAAAUCAUAACCUCCACAGUUUGUAAUUGACGAAAGAAUACAAAUAAACCGCAAAUGAAAAAAAAAAUGCGUCGACGUCGUCUUUUGAAUGAGUUGAAUAGAAGCUUGCUGUUUUUCUAGGUAGUUCCGCAUCCUCCUUUUGAGGUAAAUAGCUGUUGUGUGUUUUUGUUGGUGCGUGUUUGAAGUGAUACAGAUCAUGAUCAAAAUAUUUGUGCACUACUGGAAGAAUGGAACAUAAAGAGGCUUGAGAGCCGCCAUCUUUGUUCUUUGCUGUGAAAAAGUGGGAUUGUCGUCUGACCCAAAAUGCUAUUUACUUGUUGUCCUGUAAAGAACACGCCAGCAAUAGUUCAAACAAACAAAUUUGAAUAUUUUUGGGUGACAUGUUGGAUUGUAAUGUUCCACACCAUCAGUCCUAAAAGCUUUACAAAGCAGCCUCACAAAAACUCUGUGUAACUGUGUGUGUGUGUGGGGGGGGGAGCGUACAGAUAAGGUGCCUUCGCUCCGGCACUAAAACAUGUUUUGAACUGUUUGUUUGUCUGUUUGUUUGUCUCCCAAGGUUUGAAACAUUCAAGUGAACUUUUAAGGAACUUUUAAGCGUAUUAAAAUAUGGUCUUUUCACAUUGUCAUACACUGUGAUUUAUACUUAACCAUUUUAUAAUAAAUUUAUAACAUUUAAUAAUAAAAUAUGCAACAUAUUUAUUUCAAACA
Molecule: long non-coding RNA, 3032 nt
Organism: Biomphalaria glabrata
Lineage: Eukaryota; Metazoa; Mollusca; Gastropoda; Planorbidae
Exons: 4
Source: RefSeq, a predicted model, not a curated record